GGCCGAGUGGCCUAAUGGAUAAGGCGUCACCCUCCGAUCGAUCACGAUGGACAUAGUUGAAGAUUGCGGGUUCGAGUCCCGCCUUGGUCG
Chlamydomonas reinhardtii is the source of this 90-nucleotide non-coding RNA. The record is from Rfam. Lineage: Eukaryota; Viridiplantae; Chlorophyta; Chlorophyceae; Chlamydomonadales; Chlamydomonadaceae.